GGGCGAUUAGCUCAGUGGGAGAGCGCUACCUUGACACGGUAGAGGCCACUGGUUCAAUCCCAGUAUCGCCCACCC
RNAcentral lists this transfer RNA (75 nucleotides) under Protofrankia coriariae. RNAcentral's name for it is "Frankia coriariae tRNA-Val". It matches the Rfam family "tRNA". Rfam says of the family: Transfer RNA (tRNA) molecules are approximately 80 nucleotides in length. The record is from RNAcentral. Lineage: Bacteria; Bacillati; Actinomycetota; Actinomycetes; Frankiales; Frankiaceae. RNAcentral also lists the same sequence under 2 other names.